UAAGAUAAGACUUAUCCAAAGUCAAACAUCAAAGCCCAGUGUCACAUCACAUACUAAAGAUGUUGGAGCUUUUGCCCAAUAUGAAGAACCGGCAAGGACAGAGGAAUACUUUUGGCUCAAUGCAUUUUACCAUUUUAUUAGUUGGUAUUCAGAUGUUGAUGGAUCGUGAAUUUUCAUGUCCAUGCAUUCCCGGAUUUAACGCAAUAUUGAUGAGUUUAAUUUUUUUUGCGCCUGUUGUUUUUGCUCUGACUGUGAUGAUGUUCUUCCAGAGGCCUUGCAAACAGAAAUCCAUCUGUUCUCUGACAUUGUCAAACGUUGUAGAUGUUGUUUUACCUCUUCUGGUUCCACCUUUACUAUGGAUGUUUUUUUUGCUGUUUGACGGCGAGUACAUUGCUUGUGGGAUGACACACUGGGAAGGAGAUUACCUCCUGGAUGAAGAGAUCCAGAUGAAAUGGUGUAAACCAACCAAACUAAACAGCACUGGAGCGAGAGGAUCGGACCUAAGAGAUCAGAUCGAACAAAUUGUGUACUACUCGCGACUCUCAGCUUUAGCGCUGCUCUUGGUCAUCUGCACUGCUGUCAUGGCCGCCAUUGUUUGUCGAGACUGCACCCAGCGAUCGAAUGAAGCAACGCAACUAUCAGAGAUUCACCGUGACUCAGAGGGGCAGAUGCAACACCAACCUGAUAACAUCUAAAAAUACAAUAGGGUCUGCAAGAAUUGAGAGUCAUACCUGUGAUUGUAAAAGCACAGGAUGUGUUGUCAACCGCAAUGUAGUUAACAGCAAAUGUUUCUUUAGGUGAAAGUACUAAAUGCAUUUAACAAGAUUAUCUGCAAUGUGUCUUAAAGGGACACUACACUUUAAAAAAAUAUGCUCACUUCCAGCUCCCCUAGAGUUAGACAUUUGAUUUUUACCGUUUUUGGAAUCCAUUCAGCUGAUAUCCGGGUCUGGCGGUACCACUUUUAGCAUAGCUUAGCAUAAUCCAUUGAAUCUGAUUAGACCAUUAGCAUCACGCUAAAAAAAUAACUGGAGAGUUUUGAUAUUUUUCUUAUUUAAAACUUGACUCUUCUGUAGUUACAUCGUGUACUAAGACCGACGAUUUUCUAGGCAGAUAUGGUUAGGAACUAUACUCUCAUUCUGGCGUAGUAAUCAAAGACUUUGCUGCCGUAACAUGGCUGCAGGAGGUGCAAUGAUAUUACGCAGCGCCUGAAAAUAGUCCCUUGAUUACUUUCAAUAGCAGGGGACUAUUUUCAGAUGCUGUGUAAUAUCAAAAAAGCUUUUCUAUUUUUCUUAAGAGAUGUUAAUGAUGUUAUUAUAAACAUACAUGUUAAAUUCCAACCAACACAAAUACCAUAAUAUUGUAUAAUAUAAAAAAAAACAAUGAUCUGGUUCACCGAAACCACAAGGUUGGUCUGUGAAGAGGAAGUAACUUUCUUUGAUAAGUGUGUGACACUGCACAGUGCUCCUCAAACGCUGACACACCUCCACAGCAGCAUUUUAACUCGCCAUAUCACAACAAGAAGAGAAAAUAUCAACCAAACAGGAAUCAAGGAUCUUGUAAGGGAAAGUACCACCUACAUAUUAACAGCUGAAAAGUGUGGACAAAUAUGUUGAAAUCAUAGACACAUCAUCACAACAAGACAAGAGCAAAUACAAAUAUCUGUCUUCAUCUGAACCAACAGGUUCACGUGCAUCUUGCUGGACAAGCAGAUUUUAGCAUAUUAGCUGUGUGGUAUAUCUGAAGAUGACUUUGUUAGAGAAAUUACAUAAAUUGAUCUCCACAAAUUUAAGUAUAUAUUCUUUUAUUCUGAGUUCUUUGUCAUUUGGAAUGGAGGCAUUGGUUGAAAUGAAGUUUUCCUGUCCAUGCAAUACCUUUUCAAAUCAAGCUCUUUUCUGGCUAGUACUGAUCACUCCUGCUUUAUUUGUCUUUCUUUUAAUGUUCCUGUUUUCAAGACCCUUUAAAGAUGAAUAUAAGUGCUGCUCUCUUAAUUGUAAAAAGACUUCAUCUGACACGUUGAACCCUGGCGAACCUCGGGAGCUACAUUCUCUCACUACGUCGACGUCUGACCCAACACAUGAAACAACAUCUGACCAAACUUCACCGUCUGAACAAACUCAUUUCAUAAUACCGUUUUUACAAUGCCUAGUUCCACCUGUUGUGUGGUUCUUCAUCGUGCUUUAUGAUGGUAACUAUUACGCUUGUAGUAAGACAGACUGGAGUGGAACAUAUGUUACAGAUGAUGAGCUGAAAAUUCAAUGGUGUAAACCCACAAACUCAAGUGAAAAAGAUCUUCAACUACGUGAUCACACUCAGACUUUACUCAUAAAGUCAAAGAAGUGUAGCUUCAUUCUGGCCAUCGCCUUCUGCCUUAUCACGCUUCUUAUUGUGGGUGCCUAUGACUUAUAUAAACGGAAAAAACGUGGUGAAACUUCAAGAAAAUAAAGUGACAAAUGUCUAAAAAUUAUCCUGUCGCUUAAUGUAAAAAGUAAAAGCUGCUUUACUUAAAAAUUACUUUAAAAUUAGAUUUAUAAACUUAGAUUUUAAAAUCUAGUGAAAAUUUUAAGGUAAACGAGUUUAAAAAUUACUCUGUAAGUCAAAAUGGUUAAAUAGUGAAAAACUUAAAAAUUGUAGGGGUUGCCAAUAAUUUUUUUUUUAUUUAACCAACUUUUACUUUUUUUGACCACAAUGUUUGCAGCACAAAUGUCAUGGAUUUGAUUGCAGGGAACAUGUGUACAUGAUAAAAAAUGUAUAGCUCAAUGUAUAGCACCAUAAGUCACUUUGUAUUCAAGUGUCUGGUGAAUGCAUAAAUAUAAAUCUCAUUAUUUUUAAAUGCAAUUUCUCUGUUCCUGAAUAUGUCAAAAUUGAUGCUCUUAAUUCACAAACAUAGCUUUGUUUAAAAACUUUCUCUGAGACUUAAGAUUUUUGUUCAUGCAUUAUGUAAUAACAGUGCUUAAUAAUGAAGUAUAUGUUGUUGUUUUAUGUAAACUAAAAAAAAAAUGCUUCAAAUGUCAUUGUGUAAAAUGUCAUUGUUUUUUUUUCUUUUUACCUAAAAAGUUCAUAUUUGUGACAGCUUUUGUGCCUUUCUUUUGUAAUAAGCUAGCAUAUUUGUGUUAAACUUCAGAAUUUUAAGAAUGCAAACCUUUA
Long non-coding RNA from Paramisgurnus dabryanus, 3144 nucleotides. RefSeq lists it as uncharacterized. Lineage: Eukaryota; Metazoa; Chordata; Actinopteri; Cypriniformes; Cobitidae. The record is from RefSeq and is a predicted model, not a curated record.